CUGGCUCAGGAUGAACGCUGGCGGCGUGCCUAACACAUGCAAGUCGAGCGAGAUACGCUCAAACAGAGAUCGUCAACGGGAGAGCGUGGACAGCGGCGGACGGGUGAGUAACGCGUAGGUAACCUGCCUUAGGCUGAGGGAUAGCCCGGGGAAACCUGGAUUAAUACCACAUAAUGCGGAGGAGUCACAUGGCUCUUUCGCCAAAGAUUUAUCGGCCUAAGAUGGACCUGCGUCUGAUUAGAUAGUUGGUGAGGUAACGGCCCACCCAAGUCAACGAUCAGUAGCCGACCUGAGAGGGUGAUCGGCCACAUUGGAACUGAGACACGGUCCAAACUCCUACGGGAGGCAGCAGUGGGGAAUAUUGCACAAUGGGGGAAACCCUGAUGCAGCAACGCCGCGUGAGCGAAGAAGGUCUUCGGAUUGUAAAGCUCUGUCCUUGGGGACGAACGAUGACGGUACCCAAGGAGGAAGCCCCGGCUAACUACGUGCCAGCCGCCGC
RNAcentral lists this ribosomal RNA (499 nucleotides) under uncultured bacterium. RNAcentral's name for it is "bacterial SSU rRNA". It matches the Rfam family "Bacterial small subunit ribosomal RNA", at positions 19 to 518 of the family's 1533-position model. The record is from RNAcentral.